GAGCUACUGGUGGAAAUCACACUGCUUUGUCAAGGCAGAGUUGUGGGUUAGAGUCCCACGUAGCUCU
This 67-nucleotide transfer RNA is filed under the name Bathygadus antrodes. RNAcentral describes it as "tRNA-Asp". It matches the Rfam family "tRNA". From Rfam's summary of the family: Transfer RNA (tRNA) molecules are approximately 80 nucleotides in length. The record is from RNAcentral. RNAcentral also lists the same sequence under 1 other name. Lineage: Eukaryota; Metazoa; Chordata; Actinopteri; Gadiformes; Macrouridae.